RNAcentral lists this ribosomal RNA (571 nucleotides) under Bacillus sp. (in: firmicutes). RNAcentral's name for it is "bacterial SSU rRNA". It matches the Rfam family "Bacterial small subunit ribosomal RNA", at positions 80 to 636 of the family's 1533-position model. The record is from RNAcentral. Lineage: Bacteria; Bacillati; Bacillota; Bacilli; Caryophanales; Bacillaceae.
GCUCUUAUGAAGUUAGCGGCGGACGGGUGAGUAACACGUGGGUAACCUGCCCAUAAGACUGGGAUAACUCCGGGAAACCGGGGCUAAUACCGGAUAACAUUUUGAACCGCAUGGUUCGAAAUUGAAAGGCGGCUUCGGCUGUCACUUAUGGAUGGACCCGCGUCGCAUUAGCUAGUUGGUGAGGUAACGGCUCACCAAGGCAACGAUGCGUAGCCGACCUGAGAGGGUGAUCGGCCACACUGGGACUGAGACACGGCCCAGACUCCUACGGGAGGCAGCAGUAGGGAAUCUUCCGCAAUGGACGAAAGUCUGACGGAGCAACGCCGCGUGAGUGAUGAAGGCUUUCGGGUCGUAAAACUCUGUUGUUAGGGAAGAACAAGUGCUAGUUGAAUAAGCUGGCACCUUGACGGUACCUAACCAGAAAGCCACGGCUAACUACGUGCCAGCAGCCGCGGUAAUACGUAGGUGGCAAGCGUUAUCCGGAAUUAUUGGGCGUAAAGCGCGCGCAGGUGGUUUCUUAAGUCUGAUGUGAAAGCCCACGGCUCAACCGUGGAGGGUCAUUGGAAACUGG